RNAcentral lists this ribosomal RNA (542 nucleotides) under Pseudosphromenus dayi. Its description in RNAcentral is "partial 16S ribosomal RNA". It matches the Rfam family "Bacterial large subunit ribosomal RNA", at positions 1907 to 2608 of the family's 2925-position model. The record is from RNAcentral. Lineage: Eukaryota; Metazoa; Chordata; Actinopteri; Anabantiformes; Osphronemidae.
UGUGACAAAUGUUUAACGGCCGCGGUAUUUUGACCGUGCAAAGGUAGCGCAAUCACUUGUCUUUUAAAUGAAGACCUGUAUGAAUGGCAUCACGAGGGCUUAACUGUCUCCUUUUUCCAGUCAAUGAAAUUGAUCUCCCCGUGCAGAAGCGGGGAUAAAAACAUAAGACGAGAAGACCCUAUGGAGCUUUAGACACCAAAGCAGAUCUUGUUAAAAGUACCAAAACAACGGAACAAACCAAAAGAACCCUGCCCUAAUGUCUUUGGUUGGGGCGACCGUGGGGAAACAUAAAACCCCCAUGAGGACUGAGCACACUGUUCUCACAACCAAGAACUACAGUUCUAAGCAACAGAAUUUCUGACCAUCAGAUCCGGCAAUGCCGAUCAACGGACCGAGUUACCCUAGGGAUAACAGCGCAAUCCUCUUUUAGAGCCCAUAUCGACAAGAGGGUUUACGACCUCGAUGUUGGAUCAGGACAUCCUAAUGGUGCAGCCGCUAUUAAGGGUUCGUUUGUUCAACGAUUAAAGUCCUACGUGAUCUGA